AUCGCUUCUCAGCCUUUUGGCUAAGAUCAAGUGUAGUAUCUGUUCUAUCAGUUUAUUCUUUUUCAUGCACCUGUA
This 75-nucleotide small nuclear RNA is filed under the name Zalophus californianus (California sea lion). RNAcentral describes it as "U2 spliceosomal RNA (ENSZCAG00015017896.1)". It matches the Rfam family "U2 spliceosomal RNA". Rfam says of the family: U2 is a small nuclear RNA (snRNA) component of the spliceosome (involved in pre-mRNA splicing). The record is from RNAcentral. Lineage: Eukaryota; Metazoa; Chordata; Mammalia; Carnivora; Otariidae.